This 82-nucleotide transfer RNA is filed under the name Cyclopterus lumpus (lumpfish). It matches the Rfam family "tRNA". From Rfam's summary of the family: Transfer RNA (tRNA) molecules are approximately 80 nucleotides in length. Their secondary structure includes four short double-helical elements and three loops (D, anti-codon, and T loops). The record is from Rfam by way of RNAcentral. Lineage: Eukaryota; Metazoa; Chordata; Actinopteri; Perciformes; Cyclopteridae. RNAcentral also lists the same sequence under 3 other names.
ACCAGGAUGGCCGAGUGGUUAAGGCGUUGGACUUAAGAUCCAAUGGACGUAGUCCUCGUGGGUUCGAACCCCACUCCUGGUA